UCCUUAGGAUUGGACAGUUUGGAC
RNAcentral lists this non-coding RNA (24 nucleotides) under Rattus norvegicus (Norway rat). Lineage: Eukaryota; Metazoa; Chordata; Mammalia; Rodentia; Muridae. The record is from RNAcentral.